GCCAGUCUGCGUAGCUCAAUUGGUAGAGCACUCGCUUGUCAAUUCGAUGGUCAUGGGUUCGUCCCCAUGCUUGGUCGAAUUGGUAAUGGGUAGAUGUGGGUUCGAAUCCCACCGCUGGCC
RNAcentral lists this transfer RNA (120 nucleotides) under Pleodorina starrii. RNAcentral describes it as "tRNA-Asp". It matches the Rfam family "tRNA". Rfam says of the family: Transfer RNA (tRNA) molecules are approximately 80 nucleotides in length. Their secondary structure includes four short double-helical elements and three loops (D, anti-codon, and T loops). Lineage: Eukaryota; Viridiplantae; Chlorophyta; Chlorophyceae; Chlamydomonadales; Volvocaceae. The record is from RNAcentral.